GAUAACUGGCUUGUGGUGGCCAAGUGUUCAUAGCGACGUCGCUUUUUGAUUCUUCGAUGUCGGCUCUUCCUAUCACUGUGAAGCAGAAUUCACCAAGCGUUGGAUUGUUCACCCACUAAUAGGGAAGGUGAGCUGGGUUUAAACCAUCGUAAGACAGGUU
This 160-nucleotide non-coding RNA is filed under the name Patagioenas fasciata monilis. RNAcentral describes it as "Eukaryotic large subunit ribosomal RNA". It matches the Rfam family "Eukaryotic large subunit ribosomal RNA", at positions 2825 to 2984 of the family's 3401-position model. Lineage: Eukaryota; Metazoa; Chordata; Aves; Columbiformes; Columbidae. The record is from Rfam by way of RNAcentral.